This 491-nucleotide ribosomal RNA is filed under the name uncultured bacterium. RNAcentral's name for it is "partial 16S ribosomal RNA". It matches the Rfam family "Bacterial small subunit ribosomal RNA", at positions 29 to 507 of the family's 1533-position model. The record is from RNAcentral.
GUGCACGCUGGCGGUAGGCCUAACACAUGCAAGUCGAACGGCAGCACAGUAAGAGCUUGCUCUUCCGGGUGGCGAGUGGCGGACGGGUGAGGAAUACAUCGGAAUCUACUUUUUCGUGGGGGAUAACGUAGGGAAACUUACGCUAAUACCGCAUACGACCUACGGGUGAAAGCAGGGGAUCUUCGGACCUUGCGCGAUUGAAUGAGCCGAUGUCGGAUUAGCUAGUUGGCGGGGUAAAGGCCCACCAAGGCGACGAUCCGUAGCUGGUCUGAGAGGAUGAUCAGCCACACUGGAACUGAGACACGGUCCAGACUCCUACGGGAGGCAGCAGUGGGGAAUAUUGGACAAUGGGCGCAAGCCUGAUCCAGCCAUACCGCGUGGGUGAAGAAGGCCUUCGGGUUGUAAAGCCCUUUUGUUGGGAAAGAAAAGCAGCAGGUUAAUACCCCGCUGUUCUGACGGUACCCAAAGAAUAAGCACCGGCUAACUUCGUG